GGAGCAGAAGAAGACCAUCAAUGGGCCAUAUGCAGGGUGCUCGUCUCUAACCAGCCUCUAGAAAGGUCCGAGACUGGCACCUCCCAUGGCCCUAAUUAAGCUCUCCCCAAGUGGGGAGGUGAGUUCUCAGAGAGCAGGGAUCCACUGGUGAGCCGACUGGGCACCCACAUCACCAGAGCUUGGAACAGACUCAAGGCCAACACAGCAAGUUCAAAUUCAGAGUGGUUGAUUACCCCCAUAAUAUUCUUACCACUAUUAUUCC
Molecule: ribozyme, 262 nt
Organism: Cricetulus griseus (Chinese hamster)
Lineage: Eukaryota; Metazoa; Chordata; Mammalia; Rodentia; Cricetidae
Rfam family: Nuclear RNase P
About the family: Ribonuclease P (RNase P) is a ubiquitous endoribonuclease, found in archaea, bacteria and eukarya as well as chloroplasts and mitochondria. Its best characterised activity is the generation of mature 5'-ends of tRNAs by cleaving the 5'-leader elements of precursor-tRNAs.
Source: Ensembl